This 502-nucleotide ribosomal RNA is filed under the name uncultured bacterium. Its description in RNAcentral is "partial 16S ribosomal RNA". It matches the Rfam family "Bacterial small subunit ribosomal RNA", at positions 30 to 523 of the family's 1533-position model. The record is from RNAcentral.
AUUGAACGCUGGCGGCAGGCUUAACACAUGCAAGUCGAGCGGGGUGAUGGUGCUUGCACUAUCACUUAGCGGCGGACGGGUGAGUAAUGCUUAGGAAUCUGCCUAUUAGUGGGGGACAACAUCUCGAAAGGGAUGUUAAUACCGCAUACGUCCUACGGGAGAAAGCAGGGGAUCACUUGUGACCUUGCGCUAAUAGAUGAGCCUAAGUCGGAUUAGCUAGUUGGUGGGUAAAGGCCUACCAAGGCGACGAUCUGUAGCGGGUCUGAGAGGAUGAUCCGCCUCACUGGGACUGAGACACGGCCCAGACGCCUACGGGAGGCAGCAGUGGGGAAUAUUGGACAAUGGGGGGAACCCUGAUCCAGCCAUGCCGCGUGUGUGAAGAAGGCCUUAUGGUUGUAAAGCACUUUAAGCGAGGAGGAGGCUCUUUUGGUUAAUACCCAAGAUGAGUGGACGUUACUCGCAGAAUAAGCACCGGCUAACUCUGUGCCAGCCGCCGCCGUAA